UGGGGAAUAUUGCACAAUGGGGGAAACCCUGAUGCAGCGACGCCGCGUGCGGGAUGAAGGCCUUCGGGUUGUAAACCGCUUUCAGCAGGGACGAAGCGAGAGUGACGGUACCUGCAGAAGAAGCGCCGGCUAACUACGUGCCAGCAGCCGCGGUAAUACGUAGGGCGCAAGCGUUGUCCGGAAUUAUUGGGCGUAAAGAGCUCGUAGGCGGCCUGUUACGUCUGCUGUGAAAUCCCGGGGCUUAACCCCGGGCGUGCAGUGGAUACGGGCAGGCUGGAGGCAGGCAGGGGAGAACGGAAUUCCCGGUGUAGCGGUGAAAUGCGCAGAUAUCGGGAGGAACACCGGUGGCGAAGGCGGUUCUCUGGGCCUGUACUGACGCUGAGGAGCGAAAGCGUGGGGAGCAAACA
RNAcentral lists this ribosomal RNA (407 nucleotides) under uncultured Actinomycetales bacterium. RNAcentral describes it as "partial 16S ribosomal RNA". It matches the Rfam family "Bacterial small subunit ribosomal RNA", at positions 355 to 774 of the family's 1533-position model. Lineage: Bacteria; Bacillati; Actinomycetota; Actinomycetes; Actinomycetales. RNAcentral also lists the same sequence under 1 other name. The record is from RNAcentral.